Molecule: transfer RNA, 64 nt
Filed under: Ectopsocopsis cryptomeriae
Lineage: Eukaryota; Metazoa; Arthropoda; Insecta; Psocodea; Ectopsocidae
Description: tRNA-Val
Source: RNAcentral
CAGAAAAUAGCUUAAAUUAAAAGCAUUUUAUUUACAUUAAAAAGAUAUUAUAAAAUUUUUCUGA